This 222-nucleotide long non-coding RNA is filed under the name Mytilus galloprovincialis (Mediterranean mussel). Lineage: Eukaryota; Metazoa; Mollusca; Bivalvia; Mytilida; Mytilidae. The record is from RNAcentral.
CAGCAGCUUCUAUGAUAGUUUUUGUUAUUUCGGUUGUAAAUUGUUCAACGUUAUUUAAGUUAAUUACGGAAUCCCAAUUUUUUUCAGAUAAAAUGUUACGAUAUCUGUCAUAAUCUCCUCGAUCAUAUAGCCAAAUUUUCCGCUUAAAAGUUUUUUGACGACAUUUUGGAAAGUUCAAAAGACUAAUUAUAGGACAGUGAAAACGUAUUUGGUCUAAUAAAG